RNAcentral lists this long non-coding RNA (1264 nucleotides) under Coturnix japonica (Japanese quail). Its description in RNAcentral is "lncRNA (ENSCJPG00005017699.1)". Lineage: Eukaryota; Metazoa; Chordata; Aves; Galliformes; Phasianidae. The record is from RNAcentral.
GUCAUACGAAUGCAAGGCAUAGCAUGGCCUCAACUCUGUGUCUCUCCUGUUGUGCAACUGAGAACGUAUCCAGUAUUAUCAUGUAUGUGUGUUUGGGUAAAAGCAUCUCGCAGCUGGCCUAAGUUGAAAGAAAACUUUUUUCCCCCUUUUCUUUUUCCCUCUAGCAGCGAUACUUCACACAGUACUGAGGGAGCUUUUGGCAUUAGGACAACUGGUAAAAAUCAGGAAGAUUGGAAAAGGUGCACCAGGAAACAACGCUCCGUUUUAUGUCAGUGGCCACGUUCUCAAUGAGAUCCGCAACCGCAGAGCUCAUAACCGACUUCUGAAGCCAACAGAUAUGAAAUAUUUCAGUGCUCACAUUAAACGUCGGUAUGAAAAGUUGUAACAUUUUACAGCGUUUGCAAAAGCGAACAGUAUCAGCGCUCUCCCAUCCCGCAGUGCCCGCCCGGCGGCAGCGCCGCCUCCGAGCGCCCCCCGCUCCGCGCUGCCGGUCCCGGGGAUUGCAGCGACAAGCGAAAACUCCUCGAUUUGCCGAGCGAGCAGCUCGGAAUCGCUGCUAACCAGCGGGACUUUAACAGCCGACGUGCCACCGCGGUGCCUACACGCCGGCGGCUCCCUCCCGACGGGGCAGGGACGGACAUUUUCUCGCCCCCGCUCGGCCGGGAGACAGGGACGUACAUCCACCGGACCGAAACAUCUACCCCCGAGCCGCCAUCCCGACGCACCGCCCGCCUUCGCUCCGCGCCCCCCGGCACCGACCCGGGUCCCGCGGGGUCCCGGCUCGCUCCGUCCCGCCGCCCGCGGAGCCGCACGGGGCAGGCGGGCGGUCCGACUGCGGCGCCCCCUGGCGGCAGCGGCUGCACGGGAGCCGGGGAGGGAGGGGAUCGCGGCGCGGUGUUGCCCCGCGCCCCAACGCAUCGCCGCCCCUCCGUGCGGGACGAAGGGGACUCGCAGGCAGCCUGUGGAGCGGCCCCACUGCCGGCUGCGCGCCGCCUCCGCCUGGCAGCGUGCGCGUGCGGUCCGCUUCGAUAAGGCUCGGUUAAAGCUUAACCCGGGCAGGCCGAGGGGCGAGCGCCGGCGGCGGGCAGGAAGCGCUUCUCUGCGGUGCCCCGCCGGGAGCCGCGCCUGGGGCGGAACCGCCUUCGCCUCGCCCUGGGGGCCCGCUCCGCUCCGCACCAAAUGGCGGCGUGGCGCUGCACGCGUGCCGCCCGGGGCUGGUCAGCCUGCCCCGUCUCACCCUCAGUUUUAUGGUCCUUUGCAGUAG